UGCGUAGGCGGAUCAAUAAGUCAGUGGUGAAAUUCUGCAGCUUAACUGUAGACUUGCCAUUGAUACUGUUGGUCUUGAGUAUGGUCAAGGUAGGCGGAAUGUGUAAUGUAGCGGUGAAAUGCUUAGAUAUUACACAGAACACCGAUUGCGAAGGCAGCUUGCUGGGCCAAUACUGACGCUCAGGCACGAAAGCGUGGGGAUCGAACAGGAUUAGAUACCCUGGUAGUCC
This 229-nucleotide ribosomal RNA is filed under the name uncultured bacterium. RNAcentral describes it as "partial 16S ribosomal RNA". It matches the Rfam family "Bacterial small subunit ribosomal RNA", at positions 568 to 796 of the family's 1533-position model. The record is from RNAcentral.